RNAcentral lists this ribosomal RNA (113 nucleotides) under Peromyscus maniculatus bairdii (prairie deer mouse). Lineage: Eukaryota; Metazoa; Chordata; Mammalia; Rodentia; Cricetidae. The record is from RNAcentral.
AAGAGAGAAAAUGUCCUCCUGAACACGCCCAAUCCCAUUUGAUCUCGGAAGCUGAGCAGGGUCAGGCCUGGUUAGAACUUGGGUUGGAGGAAGAGAAAACAAAGUGAUCCAUC